RNAcentral lists this ribosomal RNA (549 nucleotides) under uncultured Glomus. RNAcentral describes it as "partial 18S ribosomal RNA". The record is from RNAcentral. Lineage: Eukaryota; Fungi; Glomeromycota; Glomeromycetes; Glomerales; Glomeraceae.
UGUUUCCCGUAAGGCGCCGAAUGAGUCAUUAAAAAAUUAACAUCAUCCGAUCCCUAGUCGGCAUAGUUUAUGGUUAAGACUACGACGGUAUCUGAUCGUCUUCGAUCCCCUAACUUUCGUUCUUGAUUAAUGAAAACAUCCUUGGCAAAUGCUUUCGCAGUAGUUAGUCUUCAAUAAAUCCAAGAAUUUCACCUCUGACAAUUGAAUACUAAUGCCCCCAACUAUCCCUAUUAAUCAUUACGUCGAUCCUAGAAACCAACAAAAUAGAAUCAAACGUCCUAUUUCAUUAUUCCAUGCUAAUGUAUUCAAGCGUGAGCCUGCUUUAAACACUCUAAUUUUUUCAAAGUAACAGUCCUGAUUCCCCACAACACCAAAUAAAUGACAUCGUGGUUCGUCAGAAGGGAGAAACCAACGAUGCCAGUACGUACCGAGGCACGACCGACAUGAUGAUCCCGAAAUUCAACUACGAGCUUUUUAACUGCAGCAACUUUAAUAUACGCUAUUGGAGCUGGAAUUACCGCGGCUGCUGGCACCAGACUUGCCCUCCAA